CUACAUGGGCUUAAAACCUUGAAGUUAAGUGAUUGCUUAAACCUUGUGAGUCUUCAGGUCGGUAUUUGUAGUUUGAGCUCUCUUCAAACUCUUUUGAUGGAUGGGAGUUUAGAACUAAAGGCCUUUCUAGAUAUCAAUAUUGGAAGUCUAAAAGCCCUUGAAUGGUUAGAUUUGUCAUAUUGCGAAAACCUUGAGAGUCUUCCGGAUAGUAUUUGUAGUUUGACCUCUCUUCAAACUCUUUUGCUGAAUGGGUGUUCAAAACUGAAAGCCUUUCCAUACAUCAAUAUUGGAAGCCUCAAAGCUCUUGAAUUGUUAGCUUUGUCAUAUUGCGAAAACCUUGAGAGUCUUCCGGACAGUAUUUGUAAUUUGACAUCUCUUCAAACUCUCAUGUUAAAAGAGUGUUCAAAAUUGAAGGGCUUUCCAGAUAUCAAUAUUGGAAGUCUAAAAGCUCUUAAAUUGUUAGAUUUGUCAUAUUGCGAAAACCUGACAGUAUUUGUAGUUUGACCUCUCUUCAAACUCUUUUGCUGAAUGGGUGUUCAAAAUUGAAGGCUUUUCCGGAUAUUAAUAUUGCAAAUCUAAAAGCUCUUGAAUUGUUAGAUUUUUCAUAUUGUGAAAACUUUGGGAGUCUUCCAGAUAGGAUUUGUAGCUUAACCUCUCUUCAAACUCUUUUGUUGAAAAAGUGUUCAAAAUUGAAGGCCUUUCCAGAUAUCAAUAUUGGAAGUCUAAAAGCUCUUAAAUUGUUAGAUUUGUCAUAUUGCGAAAACCUUAAGAGUCUUCCAGACAGUAUUUGUAGUUUGACCUCUCUUCAAACUCUUUUUUUGAAUGGGUGUUCAAAAUUGAAGGCCUUUCCAGAUAUCAAUAUUGGAAGUCUAAAAGCUCUUGAAUUGUUAGAUUUGUCAUAUUGCAAAAACCUUGAGAGUCUUCCGCAUAGUAUUUGUAGUUUGACCUCUCUCCAAACACUUUUGUUGAAUGGGUGUUCAAAACUGAAGGCCUUUCCAGAUAUCAAUAUUGGAAGUCUAAAAGCUCUUAAAUUGUUAGAUUUGUCUUAUUGCAUAUACCUUGAGAGUCUUCCGCACAGUAUUUGUAGUUUGACCUCUCUUCAAACUCUUUUGUUGAAUGGGUGUUCAAAAUUGAAGGCCUUUCCAUGUAUCAAUAUUGGAAGUCUAAAAGCUCUUAAAUUGUUAAAUUUGUCAUAUUGCGAAAACCUUGAGAGUCUUCCGGAUAGUAUUUGUAAUUUGACCUCUCUUCAAACUCUUUUGCUGAAUGGGUGUUCAAAACUGAAGGCCUUUCCAGAUAUCAAUAUUGGAUGUCUAAAAGCCCUUGAAUUGUUAGACUUCUCAUAUUGCAAAAACCUUGAGAGUCUUCCGCACAGUAUUUGUAGUUUGACCUCUCUUCAAACUCUUUUGCUGAAUGGGUGUUCAAAACUAAAGGCUUUUCCAGAUAUCAAUGUUGGAAGUCUAAAAGUUCUAGAAUUGUUAGAUUUGUCAUAUUGCGAAAGCCUUGAGAGUUUUCCGGACAGUAUUUGUAGUUUGACCUCUCUUCAAACUCUUUGGCUGAAUGGGUGUUCAAAACUGAAGGUCUUUCCAGAUGUCAAUAUUGGAAGUCUAAAAGCUCUUGAAUUGUUAGAUUUGUCAUGUUGUAAAAAGCUUGAGAGUCUUCCGAUGAGCAUUUGCAAUUUGAGCUCUCUCAAAACUCUGCGGAUUAAAGAUUGUCCAAAACUCAAGGGAAUAUUAAAGAUGAACCUAGGGGUUGAUUUAUGCUCCUCGAGAUCUUUGAAUCUGACUUGUCACAUUUCAAAUUCAGGAGUAAUCUGGGAUAAUGACUGCUUUUCCUCAUUAAAAGCAUUAAAUCCAUGGUGCCCCCUGUCAUCACUGGUAGAAUUAUCUGUAAGAAACUCUAAUCUCAUGGAACGAGACAUCCUCAGUGCUAGUUUUCGCUUAUCCUCAAUGCAAAUAUUAUCUCUAAGGAACUUCCCUUUGAUGGUAGGAGGAAUCCUUGAUGACAUUUUCCAUCUAUCUUCAUUGGUAGAAUUAUCUCUUAGUGAAUGCAAUCUGAUGGAAGUAGGAACCCUCCAUUAUGUUUGGAACCUAUCUUCACUGCUAAGAUUAUAUCUAAGAAACUGUAAUCUAAUGGAAGGAGAGAUCCCCAAUCAUAUUUGGCACCUAUCAUCAUUG
RNAcentral lists this long non-coding RNA (2174 nucleotides) under Vitis vinifera (wine grape). RNAcentral's name for it is "long non-coding RNA (VVIN_LNC006293)". Lineage: Eukaryota; Viridiplantae; Streptophyta; Magnoliopsida; Vitales; Vitaceae. The record is from RNAcentral.